ACAAAAUUAAAAUAUAAAAUUGAUAUUUUAUCUUUUGCCACUCAUCUACCAGUUGUCCCAAAUGAGACAAACCUCUAUUCAAGAAAAUACAUCUCCAAGAUCGAUCAUAUUGUCUUGUUGGGAGCAACUUAUUAUGAAUUAAACUACAGGUCUACAGCAUGGUGACAGUCACUACCUUUAAUACGUAAUUACUUGGACAAAGCUAGUAACAGAUCCAUAAAUUACUUCAACCAAAAUCCAUAAGAGUUCUGCCUUAAAUUGGGGUUGUUCACAGUGACUUCAUGUACAUCCAUAAAAGACCAACAUACAUAAGAGAAACUCAAAAGCACUUCAACCAAGUAAAUCUUCGUCUGUAUGAUCACACAGAGUUCUGCACUGUUUGCUUUGUGCUCACUGACUCAUUCUGCGAGCUGCAUAGAAUAAAAAAUAUGAUUUAGAACCAGAGCAAUAGAUCCCAAUUCUGAGCUGUAAUUUGAGUGUAUUUCAAAAAUAAUAUUGGGUCUCACGAUUCCAUUCUGCAAGGAAUAGAGAGCAAGGAUUUCUGCAUAGAAAACCAUCAUAUCAUGCACAUAUAUAAAUAUUUUGAAAACUAAUAAACCUUUUUCAUUUUUGAAACACAUGCAUAUCAAGAGAGUACAAUGGUCCUUGAGUAGUUGAGUUCCUUGUCUAAGUGUACUUAAUUAAUGUCUCUCUUCCAGGCUCCAAUUAAGCUGGCCAAUCGUAUUGAUGAGAUUAUGCGUGAUUUUUCUUGGGGGUACCAAGGAGGUUCAUCAUUAUUAUUCAGUUGGCUAGGACAGUUUGCGCUCCUAAGUUACAGGGUAGGCUGGGGAUUUUAGAAGCUUAACAAAAACUGUGUGGGUGCUAUGGAUGAUAAACUACAAAUAGUGCUAAUAUAACAGUUGAAUAUUCAAACAAAUCAAACAAUAUACAGAAAGUAAAUAACACACAGAAAUUUUUAACGUGGUAAAACCCAAUAAGGGAAACGUCCACGGUUGUCCUCGCGACAACAAAUAAUCCACUAGAUGAAAGAGAUUUACAAACCUACCAACUACCUGCACUCACUGCGAGCUGAUACUCCUGAUUAUCUCUAACACCUUGACUUCACCAGAGCACCUUGAUGUACGCACAAGACACUCGACUUCUUGAUGAACACACAAGAAGACUCGAAGCCGAAUUCACAAUGAAACUUGGAAGAUAACAGAUUUAUGAAUUGAGAGAAGGAGGAAGGAAGGGAAUUGAGUUCAAUAACCAAAAACACUUUCAACACCAAAACCUAAACCAAAACUCCAGAACAAGAGGAAUACUGGACGGCCAAAGAACUAACCUAUUCUUUGGAAGAGAAACUCUAUUUAUACUUAGGGUUGGAGAACACAGAAAAUAGGCCGAAAUAGAGAAAAUCCCCAUUGGACGUACGUACGUCGAUAUGACGUUCGUACGUCUCCAUCCGAAACAACUUGUUGACUGCUUGGACGUACGAACGUCCUAACAAGGUACGUACGUCCAGACCAAAAACUUUCCUGCUGCCUAACCAUACGUACGUACGUCCUAACAUGGUACGUACGUUUACCACAAUGAGAGUUCUGCUGCCUAACCUGACGUACGUACGUCCUAACAAGGUAUGUACGUCCUGAACCAAAAACAACCUUUUGACACGAGACACGAAGACAAAGACACAGGAUGACACGCGUACAACAAGGUUUUCUUAACAAUGAACUCAAAGCGAAAUAACCAUGGACGACCAAUGUCACAAAAUUGAUGUCAAACAACUUAGAGCCGGUUUCAAUGGAGGAACAAGAGGUUCUUUGAUCACAAGAAGAAGGAACCUUGUAAACUUUUAAUUUAAAUGAAAGAAACAUUGUUUGAUUGGUCUAUAUGGGUCGUGGAUUUUAGAAGCUUAGGUUUUCAAGAUCUUGUUUCUAAGUGGGAUGAUCUCGUUUUGUAAGGGGGCAAUAUUGUGCCAUUAGUUACUUGUUAGUGGGCAAUUAUCCAUCACCAAGUUGUAAUCCACAAGUUUAUGGAAUGAAAUAUAACCUUUAUUGAUAAAAAAUAAAAUAAAAUCCAAGCGGUUGGAUUUGGGGGAGAGCAUGAUCAUUUGUGGAGACGCACUGUUGUCUCUACUCUCUAGGCAUAUGACCCCUUAACUGAAUUUGGUCUUUCACAGCUUUAUCUCACUAAUAAACUUCUUUUAUUCACUUCUCUCUAUUAUAUAACAGCUUGAAUUUAGACGUUACUUUUUUUCUUCAAACAGGGAAAACAAACCUAUAGAAUAAAUAGGCAACAAAACCAAUUGAACAAAGACAAAAAGUAUUAUUAGAUAGUAGAAACAUUACACACACAUACAAAAAUUUUACAGUUACAGUUGAGCACAAUGGUAAACUUACUAAUGGGAUCCUUCCGCCCUAACAUCGUCAUAAAAAUCUGGAGACACGGAACAGAUACACUCCACAUCUAUUGAGAAAAAAAAUAAAAAGCAUCAUGCCACUGUCAAGACCCUAACUUACUUGAUAUUCAAUAAUUAUUAUUUCUGAAAACACUAACCUUUCAGUUUAUCUGCAAUCUCCUUGUCAACAUAAGCGCCAAAACCCAAUACAUCCGGAUGACACGAAAUAACGUAAAUUCUCUUUUUUGCUUCUUUUCCACUGAAGAGAAGUCAAAAUUUGCAAUUUAUUAGAAAAUGGUGUAAUAGAAAUCAAUUAAACAAAAGCUUAUAAUUCUUCAAAUAAAAAAUACGGUUGAGCAGAGUGAUCACAUGUUUCGUACAUGGCAGGGUCUAUCUAUAUUGGACAACCCACAACUCCAUAAAAGAUUAGUGGAUGGGUCAUGUUUUGCUAAGAGGAGGGAUAUAGAUAUAUUCAAUCUAAAAGCCAUAGAGAAAUUUGCAAACCCAAUAUGCAUAAAAAACUUACAAUAAUAUAGUAUGUAAUUUAUUGCAAAAAGAAAUAAAUAUCAAGCAAUCAUAAACACCUGAUUUAUAGUUAUGUUCUUCAUUUAAUAUUAGUUAAUCAGUUCCACAAAUUAAUGUCCCUUUAUGGACUCCACCAUAUUGCUACAGGCAAUAAUCCCCAAGAGCAUUUGUGUUACAAUCCUCAUAACAUAAAUUUAGGGGAUUAACAGCAUAUUCCAGUUUGAUCAAGUCUCCAAAACUGUAGUCCUUAUUCCGAGCAGCACCUCCAAUCCAGGAUCAUAAUAAGCACUUGCCAUAUUUGCAUAUUUUGCUCAAGUUAGGAACUGUACCUCUGAAGAUGAAAUUGUUGCAUGUGUGUCAAAGUGUCCAAAUCAGUGCGUAAGGAAGUAAGCUCCUUAGUUUUGCACCCAGUGUUGUGUCGUGGCCAUCGC
This 3336-nucleotide long non-coding RNA is filed under the name Aquilegia coerulea. RNAcentral's name for it is "long non-coding RNA (ACOE_LNC000250)". Lineage: Eukaryota; Viridiplantae; Streptophyta; Magnoliopsida; Ranunculales; Ranunculaceae. The record is from RNAcentral.